GAUGAAGAACGCAGCAAAAUGCGAUAAGUAAUGUGAAUUGCAGAAUUCAGUGAAUCAUCGAAUCUUUGAACGCACAUUGCGCCCGCUGGUAUUCCGGCGGGCAUGCCUGUUCGAGCGUCAUUUCAACCCUCAAGCCCCCGGGUUUGGUGUUGGGGAUCGGCUCUGCCCUUCUGGGCGGUGCCGCCCCCGAAAUACAUUGGCGGUCUCGCUGCAGCCUCCAUUGCGUAGUAGCUAACACCUCGCAACUGGAACGCGGCGCGGCCAUGCCGUAAAACCCCAACUUCUGAAUGUUGACCUCGGAUCAGGUAGGAAUACCCGCUGAACUUAAGCAUAUCAAUCAGCGGAGGA
This 348-nucleotide unclassified non-coding RNA is filed under the name soil metagenome. Its description in RNAcentral is "partial contains 5.8S ribosomal RNA, internal transcribed spacer 2, and large subunit ribosomal RNA". The stretch from base 1 to 120 matches the Rfam family "5.8S ribosomal RNA", at positions 35 to 154 of the family's 154-position model. The record is from RNAcentral.